UAAGCACACAGGUAUGCCUUAGUAACGGCGAGUGAAGCGGCAAAAGCUCAAAUUUGAAAUCGGCCAUAGGUCGAGUUGUAAUUUGUAGAUUGUAUCUUGAGAGCGGAUUAAAGUCUGUUGGAACACAGCGCCUUAGAGGGUGACAGCCCCGUAAAAUCUAUUCUCAUUGUAAGAUACUUUCGAAGAGUCGAGUUGUUUGGGAAUGCAGCUCUAAGUGGGAGGUAAAUUCCUUCUAAAGCUAAAUAUUGACGAGAGACCGAUAGCGAACAAGUACUGUGAAGGAAAGAUGAAAAGCACUUUGAAAAGAGAGUGAAAAAGUACGUGAAAUUGUUAAAAGGGAAGGGUAUUGAAUCAGACUUGGUGCUGUUGUUCAACUGUGUUUCGGCAUAGUGUACUCAGCAGUACUAGGCCAAGGUGGGGUGUUUGGGAGUGAAAAAGAAGUUGGAACGUAACGCUUCGGAGUGUUAUAGCCUACUUUCAUAGCUCCUCAGGCGCCUCAGGACUGCGCUCGCAAGACUGCG
This 521-nucleotide ribosomal RNA is filed under the name Geotrichum candidum. RNAcentral describes it as "LSU rRNA". It matches the Rfam family "Eukaryotic large subunit ribosomal RNA", at positions 61 to 607 of the family's 3401-position model. Lineage: Eukaryota; Fungi; Ascomycota; Dipodascomycetes; Dipodascales; Dipodascaceae. The record is from RNAcentral.